CCCGCCGGCGACCGGCGCACGGGUGAGUAACACGUAUGAAACCUGCCCGUAGCAGGGGGAUAAGCGGAAGAAAUUCCGUCUAAUACCGCGUAACAACCCAUGGAGGCAUCUCUGUGGGUUUAAAGGAAGCGAUUCCGGCUACGGAUGGUCAUGCGUCGCAUUAGCUUGUUGGCGGGGUAACGGCCCACCAAGGCGACGAUGCGUAGGGGUUCUGAGAGGAAGGUCCCCCGCACUGGUACUGAGACACGGACCAGACUCCUACGGGAGGCAGCAG
This 274-nucleotide ribosomal RNA is filed under the name uncultured bacterium. Its description in RNAcentral is "partial 16S ribosomal RNA". It matches the Rfam family "Bacterial small subunit ribosomal RNA", at positions 84 to 354 of the family's 1533-position model. The record is from RNAcentral.